CCCGAUGGGCGAAGGGCAAGAUCUUCUUGGGCCGGUAACCUGACGGCUGAGGGAGCGAAAAGCGUGGGGGAGCAAACAGGGAUUAGAUACCCUUGGUAGUCCACGCCGUAAACGUUGGGAACUAGAUGUGGGGGCCAUUCCACGGCUUCCGUGUCGCAGCUAACGCAUUAAGUUCCCCGCCUGGGGAGUACGGCCGCAAGGCUAAAACUCAAAGGAAUUGACGGGGGCCCGCACAAGCGGCGGAGCAUGCGGAUUAAUUCGAUGCAACGCGAAGAACCUUACCAAGGCUUGACAUAUACCGGAAACGGCUGGAAACAGUCGCCCCGCAAGGUCGGUAUACAGGUGGUGCAUGGUUGUCGUCAGCUCGUGUCGUGAGAUGUUGGGUUAAGUCCCGCAACGAGCGCAACCCUCGUUCUAUGUUGCCAGCACGUAAUGGUGGGAACUCAUAGGAGACUGCCGGGGUCAACUCGGAGGAAGGUGGGGAUGACGUCAAAUCAUCAUGCCCCUUAUGUCUUGGGCUUCACGCAUGCUACAAUGGCCGGUACAAAGGGCUGCAAUACCGUAAGGUGGAGCGAAUCCCAAAAAGCCGGUCUCAGUUCGGAUUGAGGUCUGCAACUCGACCUCAUGAAGUCGGAGUCGCUAGUAAUCGCAGAUCAGCAACGCUGCGGUGAAUACGUUCCCGGGCCUUGUACACACCGCCCGUCAAGUCAUGAAAGUCGGUAACACCCGAAGCCGGUGGCCUAA
RNAcentral lists this ribosomal RNA (744 nucleotides) under Microbacteriaceae bacterium. Its description in RNAcentral is "bacterial SSU rRNA". It matches the Rfam family "Bacterial small subunit ribosomal RNA", at positions 698 to 1438 of the family's 1533-position model. Lineage: Bacteria; Bacillati; Actinomycetota; Actinomycetes; Micrococcales; Microbacteriaceae. The record is from RNAcentral.